Molecule: long non-coding RNA, 179 nt
Organism: Mustela erminea (ermine)
Lineage: Eukaryota; Metazoa; Chordata; Mammalia; Carnivora; Mustelidae
Exons: 3
Source: RefSeq, a predicted model, not a curated record
GCUGGAACAACCCAUGGCACCAACUCUGUGAGGAGCACUACCCAGUAAUGGCAAGCACCCGGCAGACGUGACUUGGAACCUCUGCUAGUAUGUCCCCAAACCUAAGUUUAAAAGGCUGUGUCCGAGUUCCUACAUAGAAACUGUACUGAGAGAAAUCACAAGUAGACAGAGAAGCAGGC